GGGGUUGUAGCUCAGGGGUACAGUGCUCACCUAGCACGUGCGAGGCCCUGGGUUCAAACCUCAGCACCACA
This 71-nucleotide transfer RNA is filed under the name Marmota monax (woodchuck). RNAcentral's name for it is "tRNA.Ala". The record is from RNAcentral. Lineage: Eukaryota; Metazoa; Chordata; Mammalia; Rodentia; Sciuridae.